GGGGUUGUGGCUCAGCGGUAGAGCACUCGCCUAGCACGUGAGAGGCGCUGGGUUUGAGCCUCAGCACCACA
Molecule: transfer RNA, 71 nt
Filed under: Marmota monax (woodchuck)
Lineage: Eukaryota; Metazoa; Chordata; Mammalia; Rodentia; Sciuridae
Description: tRNA.Ala
Rfam family: tRNA
About the family: Transfer RNA (tRNA) molecules are approximately 80 nucleotides in length. Their secondary structure includes four short double-helical elements and three loops (D, anti-codon, and T loops).
Source: RNAcentral